AUACGGAGGGGGCUAGCGUUGUUCGGAAUUACUGGGCGUAAAGCGUACGUAGGCGGACUGAUCAGUUGGGGGUGAAAUCCCAGGGCUUAACCCUGGAACUGCCUUCAAUACUGUCAGUCUUGAGUUUGGGAGAGGUGAGUGGAAUUCCUAGUGUAGAGGUGAAAUUCAUAGAUAUUAGGAGGAGCACCAGCGGCGAAGGCGGCUCACUGGCCCAUUACUGACGCUGAGGUACGAAAGCGUGGGGAGCAAACAGGAUUAGAAACCCUAGUAGUCC
RNAcentral lists this ribosomal RNA (274 nucleotides) under uncultured bacterium. RNAcentral's name for it is "partial 16S ribosomal RNA". It matches the Rfam family "Bacterial small subunit ribosomal RNA", at positions 523 to 796 of the family's 1533-position model. The record is from RNAcentral.